Triticum aestivum (bread wheat) is the source of this 3877-nucleotide RNA transcript. RefSeq lists it as uncharacterized. NCBI's taxonomy places the organism in Eukaryota, Viridiplantae, Streptophyta, Magnoliopsida, Poales, Poaceae. The transcript is spliced from 4 exons. The record is from RefSeq and is a predicted model, not a curated record.
CAGCCAAUCCUAUCUUUGCCUCGGUCCCACUCCCGCACCAGCAGCCGCACGAACCCUAGCCGCUAUUCCCCUCGAUCCCCAUAGCCUCUCCUGCCUCAUGGAUCCUCGCCGCCGCCUGCUACUCCUACUCCACCACUGCUGCUGCUUCUCCACCACGCUGCCCUUCCACCUCGCGUUCCUUCUAUCCGUUGUAUAUGUUGCCGUCGGCGGCGCCUGGUUCCAGAUCGGGCGCAGGUUAGCAGAGUCCGGUGUUGAGGUGAAGGAGCAUGGGAGAGGGGGCGAUGAGGACAAGCAACUUUCGGCCGUUGCCAUGGCUGAGGCUACAGGAAAGAGGUAGGAAGCCGGAGGGUGAAGGAGCAGGCCGGCCCUCAUGGAGACGCCGCCGCCAGCCGUGGGCCAUUCGCCGUCACUGGCCUCACGCCUCGUCUCCUCUCUCUUCACCACCACAUCCAUGUUGUUUUUUGGAGAAUGGUGCUCCGAUCUGGUCCCUAUGGUAAUAUCUUCCCUUAUUCUCCCUCCUUUGAUUUCUAAUAAACUUACUUUGACGUGUUGUCUUGACAUAAAUUGUGACGUCUAUUGUUAUACCAUGGCAUGUGUAGUGCUAAUGGUUUCCUGCUAGGCAACUUCAGGCCUGCAACAUUUACAGGGGAGGAUUGCAGGUGUCGAUACGAUGGAGCAAUUUCUGGUUUUGUGGUUGGAGCAUAGCCUCAUUUUCGCAAGAGUUUGGGUUUCUCAAGAACAAUGGGAUGUUAAUCUUCCAUGCGCAGCGGCGGUGCAUCAAGGUGCAAGGCAGCUGCGACAUGUUCAUAGUACGCUAAAGGAUGAGCUCCUACUUUUGCUGAUGCUAGCUCCUUGCUGCAGAGUCAUUGUGGUGCCUGUUGGGCCUUUGGUGUUGUGGAGUGUCUGCGAGAUCGUUUCUGCAUUCCUCAUGUCAUGGUGAGUGCAUAUGGACGAUCUGUCUACUAUCUGGUCUAUUUUUAAAUAGGCAUGUCGGUCUUUUCUUACAUAAGCAGCCUGCUGUUUCUAUUCCUCACAGAACAUUUCAGUUUCUGUCAAUUCACAUUUAUCUCCAUGUUAUCUUGGUGUAAGGUAGCUUUGAUGAUGUGUUGAGGCGGUCUGCUCAGUGUAAGAACAAAUAGUUGGCCACUCCCAUUUUUAUCUCAUUUCGUAAUCAUCGCAAGCUAUGCCUAUGUCAAUAUCUAAAAGUUUUUGCUAUUUGUUUCUCCUCCUUUAAUCAAUAUUUGUAGGAUUGUUAGUAAGGUUGCUCAUCGUCAAGGAAAGUGCUUUGUGGAUACUUGCAUGACUAAGGAAGAAAUUUGUUAUUUGAAGUAUGCACUAGAGAUAUUGCAAGGUAUUUCUGUUACCAGACGAAGAAAUUUGUUAUUUGAAGUAUGCAUUAGAGAUAUUGCAAGGUAUUUCUGUUACCAGAUUCAUAUCUUUUUUUGGGACCUAUGUACAGAUGAUGAUUCGUAGCUGCAGUUAUUUUUGUCCUAAAGAUACAAGCAAAUUGAAGAUUAGACUUCUGUAUGGAAAUUUAAAUAGUGGUUCCCUGGAAAGCAAUUUAAUUUCUUGCAUUGAUUUCUCUGAUAUAACCACGCCUUUCCUAUUUUGUUAAAGAAGUAAACUAAUUCCUAAACUUACACCACCAGUCAGCAUAGCAUUCAAGCAUGCCACUAGGCCAGGGCAUUCUAGCAAACCUCGCUCCCACUAUAGGUUAGUUCUUAGCUAUGCUUGCGACUAUUCUAAUCGACCGGACAAAAAACUAUGGGAGGAAUCAAAGGCAUGCAUCUGACCUCGGGUACAUGCACCAAUUGAAAUAAGAGGUGAUAAUGUUAUCAUAUAGCUAUAUUCGAUUCAUGAGUAACUUAACAACCAACCUGGACGGCAAAAGUUUACUUCACUUGGUAACAUGAGGUGGACACCGAAAGCUUGCUAUCUAAUUUUCUUCUCUGUAGAGGAAAACAAGUAUACCGAUAGUUGGACACUGAAAGUUUUCUAAAAUUAUUUUUAGAGUUGUAUAGUGUAUACAUUUAUAACGUAGAUCCUUACUCAUGUUACACCUUUCUUGUUCUUAUGGCGAAAACAUUAGCAUAUUAACCAUUUCUAUAUUUUUCUGUUAUUUUCUUUUAAUACAGUAGUGUCCAUGCUUAUAGAUUUCUAUUUAGUGUCAAUCUAGCAUACUCAUGUCACUCCCGUCCCAUUUUAGCUCUGUUGAUGGAUGAUUUCUGCCAUUUAUUUUUAUUCCCAUUUUAUAUAUUCUGAUUAUUGCUUCAUUAUUUAUCAACUGAUGAGGCAUGACUUUUGUGUGCACUUCUUACUGAUGAUGAUCCUGAUGUUAUUUGUUUGAGAAAAGACUGAGACGGCUUGAAGUGCAUAUUUAUCCUUAUUUUGUUCAAUUAUAAUGGGAUGAAGUAACUUAAUUGACCGAUAGUGUUGUUAGUAGUGAUAGACAAUAGGCAAUUUACUAGAGCAGUUCUGUGGGUAUUAGGCAUAGUCUUCUCUGUCUCUAAAACCAGCUUCGCAUGCAAGAUCUUAUCCUAUGCCAAGUUAUUCUGUGGGUAUAUUUUUGAAAUAUUUAUCUUUGUUGUUCCGCUUAGCUACACCCUCCUUAAGUAUUUUUUUUACAGAAUCUAGAAAAACAAAGUGCUUUGCUUCUUUCCUUGCCUGGUUCAAGGUUCCGAGACCACAUGCAGUGUGCGUUGGACAAUGUUGCUGAGGGUCCAGUUUCUCAUUUUUUAGAUUUUGUAGUAGCAGAUAUGUGUAUAAUAUAGAUAACUAAACUGGUGUUUAGGCGUUUUAGUGCAGGACUGCUACUUGCUCGAUUAGUUAGAUGAACUGGUGUUUAGAGAUUUUAGUAUGGAGUGAUGUUUUGGUCUUGAUUGUAGGGCUUCGAGAUGCACCAUGAGGGCUGAAACGAGGCUUAUACCAGGCUACAAAAUUAUCAUGCUUUUGGGAUUUUCCUGAAUUUAGUUAGCAUAAAUACGUCCAGAAUCUCUCAUGCAAUAUGUAAGUCUGUCGGUAACAACACUGAUUUUUCGAGUUUGUUCUGCCAAACAAAGUGUGGAACAUACUUCAUUUUUGCAGUUAAAAGAAGGAAAAGAGAACAUUGGGGGAAAAGGCAGCUGAGCGGAUUCUCUAAGCUUUCUCAAAUGUUUGAAGGAAAAGAUAGUUACAAUCAUUAUUCUCUCGCCUUACUACAUCUUGAUGUUAAUAGGCUUUGGAAGGUACUAUGCACCCGUUCAAGGUUUAUAGAAUUUGUACCAUCCUAUUAAAGUUUAUUCUGAUGAAAGAAUUGACCGGUUCUUCCUUGUGUAAAUUAAUAUUGCAGCUGCUACUCCUUUGUGCAUUGGUACAUAGUUAUAGUUUUGAAGGUAAAGAGCAUUUCGAGACGUCUGUCCCGAGGUGGCGUGCCGUGGGGGCCUCUCGGGGAUGCUUCGAGCCAUCAGACCCUGCUGGGCGGUCGGGGGGACCGCAGGGCGCGCCUAGGACCACCGUCAUUGGACGGCCUUCGUCGCACAACUACCCGCUCGCAAAGGCAUAGCCAGGCUCGCCUGUCAGCAUCCACCAUCAGCGAUCCGGGCUGGUCCAAUCAUGACAGGCAGGGUGUGCGUCACGCCCGCCUGCACCGGCUCACUGUGAGGGUCUCUCCGGGCGCUUCGAGUCCUCCGAUCUGCCCAGACGGUGUGGACCCAGACAACCCGGCUGGGUGGUCCAUGAUGGGUGUGAAGGAAAUAUGCCUUAGAGGCAAUAAUAAAGUUAUUAUUUAUUUUCUUAUUUCAUGAUAAAUGUUUAUUAUUCAUGCUAGAAUUGUAUUAACCGGAAACAUAAUACAUGCGUGAAUACAUAGACAAUAAAGUGUCACUAGUAUGCCUCUACU